AGACAACAACAAACCCAGUAUAUUCGCACAAGUGGGGCCUGGGAGAGUUGUAUAGAACACUUUUUAAAGGGCAAUACUUGGAAGGUUUGAUCCUUAUCAAUAAAAUAACAAUAUACUUGGAAGCAGUGAUAGCUAAAAUACCUAUGUGUGCAUUUUUUGUCUAAACCCUUUUCGGGGUGGUGGUGAAUUCUGCAGAUCAUGAUCGUUCUAUUAGCAGUGACAGCUAACAUACCUAUGCAUGGGUGUCAUUUUUGCAGAAACCCUUAUUGGUAGUGGGUUCUCUGUCUUUUUAGCAUGUGCUAUCUAAAGGAUAUUUGAGGUUGAAUUCGUCGUUUUGCUGCUUGGCUGUGGGAAGGCAAAUGGUAUUUGGAGGAAUAGACAAGGCAUGAUUUUCUUCUUGAUGAAGUGUAGAACGGGGUUGUCUUUCCAUUGAGCCGGGGAGACAAUCCAAAUCGUAAUCAGUGUUCAUUAUUUGAUUGAGCACGAUGUGGUCUGCUAGUCGCGUUAAACCAUUCAAAAGAGUUUUGUCAGCCCCCAAAAGUGCUUUCCUUCUCGCGGAAAGAAGAUGUUUAGUUUUUUUGUCUAUCUCCUUUACCUAUCAUAUGGUGAGUGUCUAAAUUAGAAAGUUUUAAGAAUUCAACUUUGGUCCCUUCUUUAAGUCUUCUGAAGUCCAAUUCGGAAAGCGUUGGAAUAUGUUUAUAUCUGAACAUGGGUAUAUCAGUAUUAAUCAUCUAGAAAUAUUGCAGCUCUAUACUGCAAACUGUUUGCCUCCCCCGUUCUUUCCCAACUCCUUAGUGUAGAUAGGAAAAUCUUUUUGGAUUCUGAUACUCUUAAGGUAAAAUUGCUCUGUUUCCUUAUGGUGUUCCAUGGAUUAGGUUUACAGAUACUUACGUGUGGAUGUAGCUCUGUGACAGAACAUGCGGGUGCAGCCACUACUUUUGGCUUCAAUUUAUAUGUUUAUAUCUAUCGUUACCAAAGAAUAGUGGAAACAGUGAUAUCACUAGUUUAAACUAAACUCGCCUGUAACUUGGAUGCGAUGGAAACUUAUGGAUCGUUUUGUUCAGACUAAUUUAGAUUAUAUUACAUGGAUCUUAUGGUGAAUAACAAUACAUAGAUUGUUAUGCGGUGGAUAAUAAUACGGGAUUGUUAUGAUAUUAAAGCCAAGAAUUAUCUUAUUAUUACACAUUCUCAUUUCACCAUUUUUUCCUUCUAUAAAAUAAUACAAUGAUUCUCACUUAAGUUAUACAGGUACUAGUAAUCGGAGAUUAACAUUGAGGAGUUGUAUGCCGGAAACCAAACGAUAUACUUAUAAAGCGAAGUUUAAUUAAUGCCUUGAUUGUUUUAUUAUAUGAACAGACUAGCCCUUAUGGUUUUAAGCCUUUUUCUAAUCAAAUUUUUAACUACCUGCUAGGCCUCAGUUUCCAUCUCUUUUAUAUCUUGACGUCUGCUUUAGAUACAACCUCAUUAAUUUCCUCAUAAAUUGCAGAUUGUUAUAAAUUGCAGAUUGUUACACUUGAAUUUGAGGCUCCUCCAAAUCCCCCAUUUUGCAGCUUGGUGGAGUGCUGGGGUUAUUGAGAGAACAUGUAGAGAAUAUAAUACUGCACUUAUUCUUAGGUUCGGAUAUAAGAGAUUCAAAUAUUUUAUUUUCUGUGAGGACGGUUUUUGUAGAGAAAGAUUUGAAGA
Molecule: long non-coding RNA, 1683 nt
Filed under: Nicotiana tabacum (common tobacco)
Lineage: Eukaryota; Viridiplantae; Streptophyta; Magnoliopsida; Solanales; Solanaceae
Description: long non-coding RNA (NTAB_LNC000703)
Source: RNAcentral